CCGCACAAGAGUCGUCCCAGGACAGCUC
RNAcentral lists this small RNA (28 nucleotides) under Bombyx mori (domestic silkworm). RNAcentral's name for it is "ovarian small RNA-13845". Lineage: Eukaryota; Metazoa; Arthropoda; Insecta; Lepidoptera; Bombycidae. The record is from RNAcentral.